This 676-nucleotide ribosomal RNA is filed under the name Maudiozyma exigua. Its description in RNAcentral is "eukaryotic LSU rRNA". The stretch from base 212 to 365 matches the Rfam family "5.8S ribosomal RNA". The record is from RNAcentral. Lineage: Eukaryota; Fungi; Ascomycota; Saccharomycetes; Saccharomycetales; Saccharomycetaceae.
AUUGGUAGAGGAGGAGUGAUCGAGCCUGCGCUUAAGUGCGCGGCGAGGUUGUUCUUUUUCGUUACGCCCAUAAAUCUUUACACACACUGGAGUUUUAUUUCUACAGUAUCGGAGGUAGCAAAACCCCCAAAACAAAACACAAACAAAUAUUUUUUAUUAUUUUAAAUUGUCAUUUCAAAAACUGCUUUAUUGCAGUAACCAAAAAAUUCAAAACUUUCAACAACGGAUCUCUUGGUUCUCGCAUCGAUGAAGAACGCAGCGAAAAGCGAUACGUAAAGUGAAAUGCAGAAAUCCCUGAAACAUCGAAACUUUGAACGCACAUUGCGCCCCUUGGUAUUCCAGGGGGCAUGCCUGUUUGAGCGUCAUUUCCUUCUCAAAAACUUGUAUUUGGUUGUGAGUGACACUCAGUCUUGCAUUGAGUUAACUUGAAAAUGUUGGCCCUAGCGGUUGUUGCAGCUUAUAGUUUUUGUGUAAAGGUAUGAUUUCUUUACUAUUAAACAGGAUGCUUGAGCAUGUCGUAUUAGGUUUUACCAACUCCCGCAGACUCGGUAUCUUGGAAGAGCGUACUGGCAUUAGAACAUUGAACUGUCGACUGUGGCAAACAGUACUCUUUAAGUUUGACCUCAAAACAGGUAGGAAAACCCCCUGAACUUAAGCAUAUCAAAAGCCCGAGGAA